AUCAGAUUCACUUGAGGGACUUGUUAUAGCACAGAUUACCACUUUUGGAUUCCGUGGAUCUGAGUGGGACUGACAUUCUGCCUUUCUAACAAGUCCCCCAGUGAAGCUGAU
RNAcentral lists this microRNA precursor (111 nucleotides) under Marmota monax (woodchuck). The record is from RNAcentral. Lineage: Eukaryota; Metazoa; Chordata; Mammalia; Rodentia; Sciuridae.